RNAcentral lists this long non-coding RNA (2535 nucleotides) under Bemisia tabaci. Its description in RNAcentral is "lncRNA ENSSSA3NGG003301". Lineage: Eukaryota; Metazoa; Arthropoda; Insecta; Hemiptera; Aleyrodidae. The record is from RNAcentral.
UAGAGACGUGUGGGGAAAAAGAUGGGGUGUGCUAGUGGUGAGCUGCAUAGGGAACAAUGUAAAAGAGGGUGCAGGUCCUUUUGAAGAAUUGGAAAAGCGGGAAUUUACAUUAAAUCAAAAGGAACUAUGUGCCAAAAUAUGCAAACUCAUGAGCCUUGGGCAUGGGACAAAGGCCUGGUGGACAAGGCUCAUAAGUUAAAGCGAAAGCGGGACGAGCGCGGCGACGCGACGGUUGCAUCGCCGCUGACGUCACAAGCGCCUAAUUAUCCCCAUUCACUCUUGCGGCCCUCAUGUGACGAGCACACCCCAUAUUUCCCGCCGCACAUAAUUAUGUAGUUCUGUUUCGUAUAAAUACGUCCACUGGGCAACAAUGUGGCACCAUUUUCAGAUAUCAGCUGAUAAGCGGUAAUAAUGCAUGAUUCGAAUUUUGCACAGUAACCUAUAAGUCAAAAUAAACGCACGAAACUUUCACGAUUUUAAGAAAACUGGUUUCCAAAGUGAAGUGGUGGUAGUUAUUGUAAGUGAGUGUCAUCGGUGCUGUGCGCAAAACGAGCUGCAGAGAUGGACAAUUAUUACUUUCUGAGUGGUUUCUAAGGACUGUUCUAUUUUAUGUAUUGUAUUGAAAAUCUUUAGCUACCAAAAUGUGUCUGAUCUUACACUCGUGGUUUGGAAAGGACCUUGGAGAUGGUGUCAUGCUCGGUUCUGUCCUUGGCAUUUUGCUGACUUUUUUCAAGAGUGGUUUUUUUGGCCUCUUGUACUAUCUCACGGUGGACAAACAUACUUUUUGGGAUAGAGAACUAGCUUCACCUUCACCGCUGACAUAUUUCAUAUACGAUUUGGUUAUUCUCCUGGCGUUCAUCCUGAUUUUCAUCGGAGGCAAAAAAUGCAGCUCCGCGCUGCUGGUGACCGGUCUCAUCUGUCUGAUUGUGGGAUUUGUAGCCCAAUUUCUGUCCCUGACCGUCCACAUUGCUGCGUGGAUCGCCAAAGGUCAACAGUUGCAGCAUGGAGCCGCCAACCAUCACCCGACGUUUUUCAUCAAAGGACGACUGAGAUGCCGUUUCUCUUCUCAGAGGAACCAACUAUGAGGACAACGCUGACCGUCACGGCACUGUUCAUUUUAACCGCGAUGUACCUAAUUUACACUUUCUACUUUAUUAUGACGGUUACUUCGUACACUGCUCACAUCGGAGAGGUCAGAGUGCGGUGAUAACCGGUUCAAAUAGAUUGUGAUUCUGGAAAUCAGGAUCUCGAGAGAGCGAUCUUCACAAGACUCCCAACAUGGCAGGACGAGAACACUGAGUCGGCGCAGUGAACGAACCGCGCGCCUUCAAUUGAGGCGUCAUGCAAUCUGACCUACGCAGGAGUUCGAAUAGUUGCCGCUCUGGGUUUGACCGAACUAUCCGCUGGGAUCUUCCGUGGACUCAACUGUGCAAGAUACAAAACUCUUCGCGAGAAACGUAGGCGAUGGAGCCUUUUAUUAGUUGGCACCACGUUCCUUGAAUUUGGAAAGAUUUUUAUAGCAUGGGUAACCGGCUAACCGAAGGAGAAAAACGACCAUUGGAGAAGAAUAAGCCUCAUUAAACUAUUCGUCGUUCUUUUCAUACGCUUUUCGCGAUAUUUACUUCGGAAAAUGUAUCAAUCUCUAUUAGUGUAAAAUAAAAUUAGCUACGCUGGACAAACAAAUAAAAAAAGGAAACUGAACUGCUACCAAAAUUGUGCACUAUAAAGAACUGAAGCUGCGCUUAAAAUAUUUAAGGAUUAAAUUGGCAAUGUCCAGGUGUAAAAACAAAAACAAAAGAUGAAAAAUCGGAGAAUAUUUUUUGUGCCAGUCGGAAUAAGAUGCACAAUUUUGGCAGUAAUGCGAAGCACUUGGUCAAUCCCUGUCAAGAUGAUUUUAAUUAGUAGUAAAAAGAAAAGCGAUCUGUGAGAGAAUGAAAGGAAGGCUGAUGCUGGCUUCACAUGUUCUUCUAAUUAACAGAAGGUCUUAAACAUAAUGUGAAAUUAAAUUUGGAAGAAAUUCAUUGAAAAGCAAAAAAUGGGGGAAAUUAAGGUCAGUGUGCUAGAUGAAAACAGAAUUAAAGUGUCUAAAAACAAAACCACUUUGUGUUCUUGGGCUGGAGUAUUCCGAAAGAGAUUUACGUAAUAGCCGUUGAGACUCUGGGACCUCAUUUCCGAAAAUUUGGCUAAUUUAGUACAUCAAGGCACCGCAUUUAGAGACAAGUCUGUUAACAAUCGAAAUCUCUAACCAGAAUAAAAUCAAUCAGAGGAAAAACAAGUAAAAAAUUUGGAAGAACAUUUCUGCAUUGGGUUUAAUCCCGUGUUAAUUUUAGGGAAACAAUUCGGAAAGACAGAAAAAAAUUGAGCAGAUGAAAGUAAUUGCAUUGUUUUGUACCGAUGUUGCUAUGUACGUUGAUGUAAGUAAUUAAACUAUAGUGUUUUUACUUCAUGUUUUUGCUCCGUUGAAACAUUAAUAAAACAAAGCAAAUCAUGUACAAUCAUUUUAAGCACAUAUUGUUUAUUACCGAACACGAUGCA